UAAGGUGGUUAUAGCGAUAGGGCUCACCUCUUCCCAUACCGAACAGAGAAGUUAAGCCUAUCAGCGCAGAUGGUACUGCCACUAGGUGGGAGAGUAUGUCACCGCCUUUCUUUUGAAAAACCUUCAACUUAAUUGUUGAAGGUUUUUUUUUGCUCUUAUCUAAAAUGAAUUA
Molecule: ribosomal RNA, 172 nt
Filed under: Lutibacter oceani
Lineage: Bacteria; Pseudomonadati; Bacteroidota; Flavobacteriia; Flavobacteriales; Flavobacteriaceae
Source: RNAcentral